This 492-nucleotide ribosomal RNA is filed under the name uncultured bacterium. RNAcentral describes it as "partial 16S ribosomal RNA". It matches the Rfam family "Bacterial small subunit ribosomal RNA", at positions 29 to 507 of the family's 1533-position model. The record is from RNAcentral.
AGUGAACGCUGGCGGUAGGCCUAACACAUGCAAGUCGAACGGCAGCACAGUAAGAGCUUGCUCUUACGGGUGGCGAGUGGCGGACGGGUGAGGAAUACAUCGGAAUCUACUUUUUCGUGGGGGAUAACGUAGGGAAACUUACGCUAAUACCGCAUACGACCUACGGGUGAAAGCAGGGGAUCUUCGGACCUUGCGCGAUUGAAUGAGCCGAUGUCGGAUUAGCUAGUUGGCGGGGUAAAGGCCCACCAAGGCGACGAUCCGUAGCUGGUCUGAGAGGAUGAUCAGCCACACUGGAACUGAGACACGGUCCAGACUCCUACGGGAGGCAGCAGUGGGGAAUAUUGGACAAUGGGCGCAAGCCUGAUCCAGCCAUACCGCGUGGGUGAAGAAGGCCUUCGGGUUGUAAAGCCCUUUUGUUGGGAAAGAAAAGCAGCAGGUUAAUACCCCGCUGUUCUGACGGUACCCAAAGAAGAAGCACCGGCUAACUUCGUG